CAAUCGCCACAUCGAUCUCGGGCACCGCGACGGCGACACGCGCGCGCCACAUGGCGUCCCCCGUCGACGAGGUCUGCACGGCAAGGCCGUCGCGCGCCUUGACACCCUCGACGCAAUGGUUGCACGUGACGAGAAAGCGCGGCGGCUGGUCGGGUCCGUCGUCGCGCUCCCACGGCAGGCGCACGAACCAGCCCGACCCGGCGAUGAGAUCGGUGCGCACCGGAUGCCACGGUUCGAGCGGGUUGUGCUCCAUGAUGGCGGCCUUGAUGCGUGCCACCGUGCCGACAGGCUUCUCGGGAAGCCGUCGCCGCGGUCCACGCGUCCAGGCGUCAUCGCCGUCGCGGUCGUCGUCGCUGUCGCUCAUGGCAAUCCUGUUCCUCUUUUCUUGAUCGGCCCUUCUGUCCCAAAGGGGGUUGGUCGAGUUGCUUUUUUUUUCCUGUCGCUGCCCUGACGGCGACUCGUAGGCAACAGCGAGACCGAGCAAAGAAGGAAAAAAGAGAGAGGCUGGAUACACGCACAGAUGGCCCGUGGUUCUUUCCCCAAUGCCGUCGGGGUCUGUGCGUCCGUCGCGGCGAGGCGAAAGCAUGGCAGGAGUCCAUGGGCGUGCACACGACCGCGCCAGCGCAAAUUGUGCGUAAAUCGGUCGCGCUGCACAGGCUCUUUCUCUGGCUUGACGGCCCCACCGCGCAGAGAUGACCCCCAUAAAAAAACAAUUUAAAGAGAAGCGGCGGCACCGAUGUGGUUGGACUCUUUUUUUUUAUUUUUGCGUAAAGCGGACCCGUGCCUGUGGCGAUUUGGGCAAGACACAAGCAGCGCCAACACGGCUUUGGCAUGUGCACACAUACACACAUAAAAAAAA
Molecule: long non-coding RNA, 859 nt
Filed under: Pandoravirus quercus
Description: hypothetical ncRNA
Source: RNAcentral